GCUCUAAAAAAACCAAUAUACCCUUUUCACUUAAUUUUUCUCUUCCUCUUCUGUGUCUUCUUCAACCUCUUUUGUGUCUUCUUCAUUUUUUUUUUCUUUUUUUUUGCUUUAACAUGAUGCCUAAUAUAAAGCCAAUGCAAUAGAUAAAAAAUGUAUCAGAUGCUAUUGAUUAUUAUUCUUUUAGCUUCGAUUAUGUGGAGAAUCUGGAUAGUAGCAUAUGGAGGGGGACAUCUGGAUUGUAUGCACAGAGAUGUUAACUUUGUGUAGGGACAUCUUAA
Molecule: long non-coding RNA, 278 nt
Filed under: Phoenix dactylifera (date palm)
Lineage: Eukaryota; Viridiplantae; Streptophyta; Magnoliopsida; Arecales; Arecaceae
Description: long non-coding RNA (PDAC_LNC013364)
Source: RNAcentral